UGCAAGUCGAACGCUGAGGUUUGGUGUUUACCCUAGACUGAUGAGUUGCGAACGGGUGAGUAACGCGUAGGUAACCUGCCUCAUAGCGGGGGAUAACUAUUGGAAACGAUAGCUAAUACCGCAUAACAGUAAUUAACACAUGUUAGUUAUUUAAAAGGAGCAAUUGCUUCACUGUGAGAUGGACCUGCGUUGUAUUAGCUAGUUGGGGAGGUAAAGGCUCACCAAGGCGACGAUACAUAGCCGACCUGAGAGGGUGAUCGGCCACACUGGGACUGAGACCCGGCCCAGACUCCUACGGGAGGGAGCAGUAGGGAAUCUUCGGCAAUGGGCGCAAGUCUGACCGAGCGACGCCGCGUGAGUGAAGAAGGGUUUCGGAUCUUAAAGCUCUGUUGUUACAGAAGAACGUUGGUAGGAGUGGAAAAUCUACCAAGUGACGGUAACUAACCACAAAGGGACGGCUAACUACGUGCCAGCAGCCGCGGGAAUACGUAUGUCCCGAACGUUGUCCGGAUUUAUUGGGCGUAAAGCGAGCGCAGGCGGUUCUUUAAGUCUGAAGUUAAAGGCAGUGGCUUAACCAUUGUACGCUUUGGAAACUGGAGGACUUGAGUGCAGAAGGGGAGAGUGGAAUUCCAUGUGUAGCGGUGAAAUGCGUAGAUAUAUGGAGGAACACCGGUGGCGAAUGCGGCUCUCUGGUCUGUAACUGACGCUGAUGCGCGAAAGCGUGGGGAGCAGACAGGAUUGAGUAUACCCCUG
RNAcentral lists this ribosomal RNA (753 nucleotides) under Streptococcus agalactiae. RNAcentral's name for it is "bacterial SSU rRNA". It matches the Rfam family "Bacterial small subunit ribosomal RNA", at positions 56 to 789 of the family's 1533-position model. Lineage: Bacteria; Bacillati; Bacillota; Bacilli; Lactobacillales; Streptococcaceae. The record is from RNAcentral.